UGGGGAAUAUUGGACAAUGGGCGAAAGCCUGAUCCAGCCAUGCCGCGUGUGUGAAGAAGGUCUUCGGAUUGUAAAGCACUUUAAGUUGGGAGGAAGGGCAGUAAGCGAAUACCUUGCUGUUUUGACGUUACCGACAGAAUAAGCACCGGCUAACUCUGUGCCAGCAGCCGCGGUAAUACAGAGGGUGCAAGCGUUAAUCGGAAUUACUGGGCGUAAAGCGCGCGUAGGUGGUUCGUUAAGUUGAAUGUGAAAGCCCCGGGCUCAACCUGGGAACUGCAUCCAAAACUGGCGAGCUAGAGUAGGGCAGAGGGUGGUGGAAUUUCCUGUGUAGCGGUGAAAUGCGUAGAUAUAGGAAGGAACACCAGUGGCGAAGGCGACCACCUGUGCUCAUACUGACACUGAGGUGCGAAAGCGUGGGGAGCAAACAGG
RNAcentral lists this ribosomal RNA (429 nucleotides) under Pseudomonadota bacterium. RNAcentral's name for it is "Proteobacteria bacterium partial 16S ribosomal RNA". It matches the Rfam family "Bacterial small subunit ribosomal RNA", at positions 355 to 776 of the family's 1533-position model. Lineage: Bacteria; Pseudomonadati; Pseudomonadota. The record is from RNAcentral.